RNAcentral lists this ribosomal RNA (423 nucleotides) under uncultured Gammaproteobacteria bacterium. Its description in RNAcentral is "bacterial SSU rRNA". It matches the Rfam family "Bacterial small subunit ribosomal RNA", at positions 9 to 429 of the family's 1533-position model. Lineage: Bacteria; Pseudomonadati; Pseudomonadota; Gammaproteobacteria. The record is from RNAcentral.
GAGUUUGAUCUUGGCUCAGAGUGAACGCUGGCGGCAGGCCUAACACAUGCAAGUCGAACGGCAGCACAGUCGUAGCAAUACGAUGGGUGGCGAGUGGCGGACGGGUGAGGAAUACAUCGGAAUCUACCUUGUCGUGGGGGAUAACGUAGGGAAACUUACGCUAAUACCGCAUACGAACUACGGUUGAAAGCGGCGGACCGCAAGGCGUCGCGCGAUUGGAUGAGCCGAUGUCCGAUUAGCUAGUUGGCGGGGUAAAGGCCCACCAAGGCGACGAUCGGUAGCUGGUCUGAGAGGAUGAUCAGCCACACUGGAACUGAGACACGGUCCAGACUCCUACGGGAGGCGGCAGUGGGGAAUAUUGGACAAUGGGCGCAAGCCUGAUCCAGCCAUGCCGCGUGUGUGAAGAAGGCCUUCGGUUGUAAG